GUAUGGAUAGCUCAGUUGGUUAGAGCAUGGUGCUGACAAUGCCAAAGUUGCAGGUUCCAUUCAGGGACAGCUGCAUAUU
Molecule: non-coding RNA, 79 nt
Organism: Podarcis lilfordi (Lilford's wall lizard)
Lineage: Eukaryota; Metazoa; Chordata; Lepidosauria; Squamata; Lacertidae
Source: the annotation of a GenBank genome assembly